Molecule: ribosomal RNA, 473 nt
Filed under: Opisthostoma hailei
Lineage: Eukaryota; Metazoa; Mollusca; Gastropoda; Architaenioglossa; Diplommatinidae
Description: partial 16S ribosomal RNA
Rfam family: Bacterial large subunit ribosomal RNA
Source: RNAcentral
CUGCAGUAUCCUGACUGUGCGAAGGUAGCAUAAUAAUUUGUCUUAUAAUUGAAGAAUGGAAUGAAAGGUUUGACGAGGGUAUUGCUGUCUGGCUUGUAUUUAUUAUAAGUUGAUUUUUAGAUUAAAAGGUCUAAAUUAAAUUAAAGGACGAGAAGACCCUAUUGAGCUUUAUAAGGAGGACAUCUAUAAAAUUAUGUAUUAGAUGAGUAGAAGAGGUAAAAAUUUUAGUUGGGGCGACUUAGGAGCAGUUAAAGCUUCCUAUUAGAUGAUGGGUUGAUUGGCGUGAGAUCCAGAUUGUUUUGAAUUAAGAACAAGUUACCAUAGGGAUAACAGCGUAAUUCUUUUUGAGAGUUCUAAUCGAAGAGGGGGUUUGCGACCUCGAUGUUGGAUUAGGGGGUAGUAAAGGUUGUAGAAGCUUUUAUAAUUAGUCUGUUCGACUAUUAGUUCCCUACAUGAUCUGAGUUCAAACCGGA